Molecule: long non-coding RNA, 383 nt
Organism: Crotalus tigris (Tiger rattlesnake)
Lineage: Eukaryota; Metazoa; Chordata; Lepidosauria; Squamata; Viperidae
Exons: 3
Source: RefSeq, a predicted model, not a curated record
ACAUCUGCCUGGAGGCGCACAGCAGCUUCUUCUCUCACUUGGAACAGAGUGGAGAAGUCUGCAAUGAUUCCUGGCCAUAUAUCAGCUGAAGUGAAGACACAGGAAAGGGAGCUCUUCACCUAAACUGCUAUUAGACUGCACAACUGUUUAAGGAGCAGAUACUUUAAAUGGACUGUCUUCCAUAAGAUUUAAAAUGGUGCUUCUUAGGAGAUCAUAACCACAACUCUGUUAUAUAACAAUCUCCUGCAAUCUCAUAUUUAAAAGAGAGAUAUGAUGUGCUACACUUGGAUUGAGUGACAUGACUAUACCAAGAUAAUUGUUUUUUGGACAGAAAAUACCAGUAAUUCUUGAUUUACGGCCAGAAUUGAGGACAAAAUUUAUGU